Molecule: non-coding RNA, 1464 nt
Organism: Paramuricea clavata
Lineage: Eukaryota; Metazoa; Cnidaria; Anthozoa; Malacalcyonacea; Plexauridae
Source: the annotation of a GenBank genome assembly
UGACCUUGUAAAUGUGGAUCAAUGGCUCGUUGCAAACAAACUAACCUUAAAUGAGGGCAAAACGGAAUUUAUAAUAAUAGGCUCAAGGCAACGAGUGUCUUCUUUCGAACAUGGUCCCUUAAUUAAACUUGGUGACAAAGUAAUUAAGCGUGUACCACAUAAAAAAAUACUUGGUGUUAUCUUAGAUGAACAACUUAAGUGGGACAAACAUAACGAGGAACAAAGUAAAACAAUUUCAAAGAACAUUGCUCUGCUAAGAAGAGCUAAGUCUUUCGUUCCCAGACAUGUUCUGGAGAAAAUGUAUAACGCUUUUAUGAUUCCUAAUUUUUACUAUUGUUCGACUGUGUGGCAUGACGGAAGUAAAAACAAAUUAACUAAAAUGUCUAAACUUCAAAAGAAAGCGGCACGAGUAAUUACCGGUGAUUCCUACGAUAUUCGAUCUAACGAAGUAUUUCAAAAACUUAACUGGUUACCAAUGAGCACAUAUUUACAAACUCGAGAGAACAUAGCUACUUUCGAGGCAUUAAUCGGAAAUUCGCCUCCAUGUCUUACUAAAUUAUUUAAUCGUUGCUCGAAUGAAACAUAUAAUUUGAGAAGUAAUUUUGACCAACUGUCAUUAGCAAAACCUAGCACAAAUUUUCUUAAGAAAAGCUUUUCCUAUAGAGCGGCAAAAUCGUGGAACAACCUUCCCUUAACUUUAACGCAAAACAUCGGUAAUAAAACAGCGAAUGUAUUAAAGACAUUGCUCAUCAAUCACUAUGGUAACGACUAUAGUGAUUGACGAGUACCCCUUGUACGUGUACUUUAUAUGCUGUAAUAAUUAAGUAUUAUUGUACUAGUAAAGAUAAUUAGUAUACAUUGUUGUAUUAGUGACUGAGUAGUGUGAAGCUGAUGAGUAGUUAGGCUUCAUAAUUAUUAUUGUAAAUUUUUAUUGUGUACACGGCCCAUUGAAAACCAGCGAAUGCUGAAUGGCUACCGUGUUUAAAUCAUUUUAAUAAAACAAUAAAACAGCCUCAAAAUAUAGAGGAUAUUAGACGAUUACGAAGAGAUAUGGAUUUUAUGUACGAGUUGCAAAAACAAUAUCGCAGGAGUGAGCGCAGCCAACGAGUGAGAUAUUAUUUUUGACACGAGAACAUAAAUCCAUAUAUUCUCGCAACUGUUUAAUGUUCUGUUUAUUAUAUGGACUCAUUCAGAGUGACAAAAAUACACACAAUGACACAAAGACGACAUUUAAAUAAGCACGCGAAAGACCAGUGUAAAAGCGAUAUUUUUUUAAAUUAUAGUGCAAACAUAGAACUAGAAUAAAUUUUACUUAUCUCAAGAUGUCUUUUAAAUGUUUUCGUUUUAUUUCCAACGUUAAUUUCGUUUUAAAUACGAACCAAAGACCAUUUGUAUUUCCAAAACAACAAUGAAAAUGGCGGGAAAUUUUCAAACUUCGUAUGUCACUAGCAUAGAUCACUAGCA